GAUGAACGCUGGCGGCGUGCCUAAUACAUGCAAGUCGAGCGAACAGACGAGGAGCUUGCUCCUCUGACGUUAGCGGCGGACGGGUGAGUAACACGUGGAUAACCUACCUAUAAGACUGGGAUAACUUCGGGAAACCGGAGCUAAUACCGGAUAAUAUAUUGAACCGCAUGGUUCAAUAGUGAAAGACGGUUUUGCUGUCACUUAUAGAUGGAUCCGCGCCGCAUUAGCUAGUUGGUAAGGUAACGGCUUACCAAGGCAACGAUGCGUAGCCGACCUGAGAGGGUGAUCGGCCACACGGGAACGGAGCCACGGCCCAGACUCUUACGGGAGGCAGCAGUAGGGAAUCUUCCGCAAUGGGCGAAAGCCUGACGGAGCACCGCCGCGUGAGUGAUGAAGGUCUUCGGAUCGUAAAACUCUGUUAUUAGGGAAGAACAAAUGUGUAAGUACCUAUGCACGUCUUGACGGUACCUAAUCAGAAAGCCACGGCUAACUACGUG
This 497-nucleotide ribosomal RNA is filed under the name uncultured bacterium. Its description in RNAcentral is "partial 16S ribosomal RNA". It matches the Rfam family "Bacterial small subunit ribosomal RNA", at positions 28 to 507 of the family's 1533-position model. The record is from RNAcentral.